This is a long non-coding RNA of Drosophila serrata, 205 nucleotides long. RefSeq lists it as uncharacterized. Lineage: Eukaryota; Metazoa; Arthropoda; Insecta; Diptera; Drosophilidae. The record is from RefSeq and is a predicted model, not a curated record.
GCGGUCCUGUGGCCUUGCCGCACCAGGAGCCACCGGUGAAUGGACGUCCCAAUUCGCUGAGCUGCCAGAAACAGCCAAACAGAAGGGCUAAAAGCAAUUUUCCCUUGCCCUGCAGAGGGCUGUGACGCAACAUUUAAAGCCUCACAUACACACACGGUCUCUCCCAUGCUGGCUGGCACAUUAAAAAAUUGGGUUAAGUUAUAGA